This 61-nucleotide microRNA precursor is filed under the name Danio rerio (zebrafish). RNAcentral describes it as "Dre-Novel-3_pre stem-loop". Lineage: Eukaryota; Metazoa; Chordata; Actinopteri; Cypriniformes; Danionidae. The record is from RNAcentral.
AGCCCCGGUCUUGAAUCUGGUCCCAGACUAAACAUUUGGGCUGAUCAGUGACUGCGGCUGC